AUGGUGUACAAACUUGUCUCCAAAGUCCUUGCCAACCGGCUCAAGAUGAUCUUGGAUGAGCUUAUUUCGCCUAAUCAGAGUGCUUUCGUCCCAGGGCGUUUGAUCUCGGACAACACUAUAUUGGCUUACGAAAUGACACAUUUCAUGCGGAGAAAGAGAAGGGGAAAGGAUGUUUAUAUGGCUCUCAAGCUAGACAUGAGCAAAGCUUACGACCGCAUCGAAUGGCCAUUUCUGGAAGGGAUGAUGACACGGAUGGGCUUCGCGGAGGAGUUUGUGCAGCUUAUAAUGAAGUGCGUAACGAUAGUCACCUACCGGUUCAGAGUGAAUGGGGACUUAACUGGAUAUAUUGUUCCUGGUCGUGGGCUGAGACAGGGUGACCCGAUCUCACCAUAUCUCUUUCUCAUAUGUGCUGAGGGAUUUUCAGCAUUACUAAAUCAUGCAGAGGAGGAAGGACGCAUCCGCGGCAUACAGCUUGCUCCAACAGCGCCUCGGGUUAGCCAUCUCCUUUUUGCUGAUGACUCGUUACUGGUCAUGGAAGCCACACUGCAAAGUGUACAGGCCAUCAGUGAAAUUUUACAAGUCUAUGAGGAAAGCUCGGGUCAGGUCAUCAAUAGAGAAAAGUCCUCUGUGAUGUUCAGUAGCAAUGCAAAGCAAAGCGCCAAAAACCUGUUAUUACAGGAAUUGCAACUUGGUGCUGAAUCAAUGAGAGGAAAAUAUUUGGGGCUGCCAACAUACAUUUGGAAGUCGGUCAAGAGAUGCUUUGCAUACAUAAAGGACAGUAUAAUGAGCAGACUUCACGGAGGGAUGGAGAGAUGCUUGUCCAUGGCAGGGAAGGAGGUGUAUGUCAAAGCAGUCGCACAUGCUAUACCGACGUAUGCUAUGGGCUGUUUCGAUCUCACUAGAUCCCUGUGUGAUGAGAUAAGCCAAUUCAUAUGCCGAUACUGGUGGAACCAACAGGCAGAGGAGAGGAAAAUGCAUUGGGUAGGAUGGGAAAAAUGA
This 999-nucleotide ribosomal RNA is filed under the name Triticum aestivum (bread wheat). Its description in RNAcentral is "partial small subunit ribosomal RNA". The record is from RNAcentral. Lineage: Eukaryota; Viridiplantae; Streptophyta; Magnoliopsida; Poales; Poaceae.